UACGGAGGGUGCAAGCGUUGUUCGGAAUUAUUGGGCGUAAAGCGCGUGUAGGCGGCUUCUUAAGUCUGGUGUGAAAGCCCGGGGCUCAACCCCGGAAGUGCACUGGAUACUGGGAAGCUAGAGGACGAGAGAGGAGAGCGGAAUUCCUGGUGUAGGGGUGAAAUCCGUAGAUAUCAGGAGGAACAUCGGAGGCGAAGGCGGCUCUCUGGCUCGUAUCUGACGCUGAGACGCGAAAGCGUGGGGAGCAAACAGG
This 253-nucleotide ribosomal RNA is filed under the name uncultured bacterium. Its description in RNAcentral is "partial 16S ribosomal RNA". It matches the Rfam family "Bacterial small subunit ribosomal RNA", at positions 524 to 776 of the family's 1533-position model. The record is from RNAcentral.